Molecule: long non-coding RNA, 946 nt
Filed under: Homo sapiens (human)
Lineage: Eukaryota; Metazoa; Chordata; Mammalia; Primates; Hominidae
Description: non-protein coding lnc-BCAP29-1:1
Source: RNAcentral
CAGGAUAAGGAAGCCUGAGUGCAUACCAAUAAUCAAAGCUACAUCUGUGACACAGGACACUGCUGUGGACAGUCUCAGUGCUGCAACUACUGCUAGGAACUCUGGUAGCUCUGGCUGGUGUGGACCAUCAUCAUCAUCCUUAGCUGCUGCUACAUUGGCCACCACCGCCAAGCCAAGCACCGCCUUCAGGCCCAGCAUCGGCAACAUGAAAUCAACCUGAUCCCCUGCCAAGAAGCCUUCAAUCACUCAGUGCUGCCUUUUUAUUUCAGGUUUUUGCUAAACUACUUAACUACCUCCUUAUGAGGAAGUGGUGAGCCAGCCUCCAACUCCUCCCCCAGCAUACAGUGACUUCCAGCUACGCAGCAGCAGCAGCUCCUGCCUCCACAGUGAGGCCUGGCAGAUGGCAGUCCCCCAGCGCCAAUCCCACCAGGGGAUCCAAGGGAAUCCCUUGUCUGAGCCCAGCAGAAGCAUCACAAGACCCCCAAGCAUCGCUGAUCCUGAGCCCUCUGACCUACCAGGUGACCGAGUAGCCACCAAAGCCCUGGGGAUGCAGCCCAGUGGCUCUGUAGCCAGCCUGGGAGAGCUGGACCCAGGGGCCUUCCUGGACAAGGAGGCAGAAUGUAAGGAGGAGCUGCUGAAAGAUGACAGUUCUGAACAUGGCAGCGCACCGCCCAACAGCAAAGAGAAGAUGCUCAGGAGACAUUGCCACUUCACUGGUGACGCGGGCAUUGAAGUGCGUAUGUCAGGGCCACCAUGAUCAUAGCCUUAAAGAGUUCAACAUGCUCAUCGCUGAUGCACUGGAUGGGCCCCUGGACUUCUGCGACAGCUGCCAUGUGCAGCCUCCUGGUGAUGAGGAGGAAGGCCUCUUCCAGCCCUCCAAGGAGCAGGCUUGACAGCCUGGGCACCUGCACCUGCCACAGCUACCUGCAUGCCUGCUGCUAAACAU